GCCGAAGUGGCGGAACUGGCAGACGCGCGCGACUCAAAAUCGCGUUCCUUCGGGAGUGUGGGUUCGACUCCCACCUUCGGCAUCA
Molecule: transfer RNA, 85 nt
Filed under: Chloroflexota bacterium
Lineage: Bacteria; Bacillati; Chloroflexota
Description: Chloroflexi bacterium (sediment metagenome) tRNA-Leu
Rfam family: tRNA
About the family: Transfer RNA (tRNA) molecules are approximately 80 nucleotides in length. Their secondary structure includes four short double-helical elements and three loops (D, anti-codon, and T loops). Further hydrogen bonds mediate the characteristic L-shaped molecular structure. tRNAs have two regions of fundamental functional importance: the anti-codon, which is responsible for specific mRNA codon recognition, and the 3' end, to which the tRNAs corresponding amino acid is attached (by aminoacyl-tRNA synthetases). tRNAs cope with the degeneracy of the genetic code in two manners: having more than one tRNA (with a specific anti-codon) for a particular amino acid; and 'wobble' base-pairing, i.e. permitting non-standard base-pairing at the 3rd anti-codon position.
Source: RNAcentral